This 23-nucleotide microRNA is filed under the name Lotus japonicus. RNAcentral's name for it is "lja-miR11108f-5p". The record is from miRBase by way of RNAcentral. Lineage: Eukaryota; Viridiplantae; Streptophyta; Magnoliopsida; Fabales; Fabaceae.
GUUAAAUAACCCACCAUCCAAUC